Molecule: long non-coding RNA, 211 nt
Filed under: Elaeis guineensis (African oil palm)
Lineage: Eukaryota; Viridiplantae; Streptophyta; Magnoliopsida; Arecales; Arecaceae
Description: long non-coding RNA (EGUI_LNC016078)
Source: RNAcentral
CAAGUAAUUCAACCUGUGGCACAUAAUAGGAUGCAAGAAGCUCAUCCUCGGCUAACAGCAUAUGUCCAGUCUCAUUUUUAAUUACAUGCCCAACAGCAGCCGGGUCCUUACAAACGGAGGCAUCAAAAUUGUUUUUUAAUACACGAAGGGGAGGAGGUAUCCAGCGCACAAAUAGAGAAGAAGAAUGGGCAAAUGAUAAAGAAGUAUCCCA